RNAcentral lists this long non-coding RNA (8496 nucleotides) under Homo sapiens (human). Its description in RNAcentral is "non-protein coding lnc-ARHGAP15-16:1". The stretch from base 5841 to 6043 matches the Rfam family "Viral integration site 1". Lineage: Eukaryota; Metazoa; Chordata; Mammalia; Primates; Hominidae. The record is from RNAcentral.
UCUAGAUUCUUACAGAUUUCAUUAUUUGAAAAUAAAGAUAAACUUGCCUCAUUACUUUUUAUUAAAAAUACUUUUGAACAUAUAUAAUUUAAUCAUUCCCGUGACUAAAGUUCAAACAUUCUGAUGAACUUCUUUCCCUAGGUAAACCAGCAUAUAACUUUGUAGUAGAACAAAGUUACAUUCCAUUUCGUUAUAAAUUCCUUUAGAAAGACAAGUUUCAAAAAUUAUUUCUCUCAAAGUGUAUCAUUGUGACACCACAUUAAGAAAAAUCAAAGAUAAAUAAUAGGACUAUGGAUCCUGCAAAUUUUGCCAAUGCCUGAAGACAUAUUCAUACAUUCAUUCAUUCAUAAAUAUUUAUUGAGGGCCUGGUACAUACCAGGAACUAUUUUCUAUGUUCUGGGGAUAUAGCAGUAAAACAACAACAACAAAAAAACAUAUAAACUCUCUCCCAUGAUGGAACUUAUAUUUUAGUGCGGAAGAACAGAAAAUAACUAAGACAAAUAAAGAAAACAUAUGAUUUGUUAGAUACUGAUAGUUGCUAAGGAUGAAAAGAUAGUAGGGGAGGGGAAUAUAAAUUGUCAGGGAGGAAUGACAACAUUUUAGAUGGGAUGGCAAGUGAAGGCCUCAAUGAAAAGAUAACAGUUUAUUUGUUAUCUUUGAUAACAAUGAAAAGAUAACAGGUUAGAUAAGAUGAGGGACACACCAUCUGGCCUUCUGGGAGGCAAUUCCAGGUAAGGGGGCAUGUUCAAUGCAAUGGCAAGAAGGAUCUGGUCUGUUCUAGGAAUGUGCUGUGGUCUGUGUGCUUGGAACAGAGAGAUGGGUGAGUAAUCAAAGAACUCAGAGAUGUAAUGAAUAUGGGUGGUGAGGUUGGGGACAGAUAAUUCAAGGCCUUGGGUCAUAGUAAGGACAUUGGCCUUUCCUCUGAGUGAUAUCAAAAGCCAUAAGUAGAAUUGAAGGAAUAAUAGGAUGUAACUUAUGACUGAAGAGGGUCACUCUGCCUGCUGUAUUAAGAAUGGACUGCAGGAGGGCAAGGAUAUCUGUUAAGACCUGUUUUAAUAGACCAAACAAGAGAUAAUGGUGGCUCAGGUCAAGUUGGUAGCAGUGGACAUGAUGAGAAGUGGUUAGACUAUAUAUGUAUUUUGAAGGUAGAAUCAACAGGAUUUCCUAAAUGAUUAAAUAUGAAAUAUGAGAAAAGAAGUUAAGUUAAUGAUGCACCAAGGUUUUUGGCUUGAGUAACAAAGGAUAGAACUGCCCUUAAGCAAGAUGGGGUAGACAGUGGGAUAAAUGGUAUUUUUAUUUUGGAUGGAGGGGUUGGUUAUUAAGAGCUCAGUAGUAAAAUUAGAGCAGUAGAACUUUAAGGAUGGGCAGAUGAGUCUUACAGGGGUUUACCACUCCAUUCAUUCCUCAGUCCUUACCCUUAAGACCCCCAUGAUGGCAAUCCACUGAUGACUGGGUAGCAUUGAAGGAAAAUGUCAAAAUGGUCAGGGGAAAGGAAAGACAGCCUAGCCAUCUGCUUCUGUGUAAAAGAUUUAGCUAAAUUUACUUAUCAUGAUGGCAUUUGUUGCCGAAUUGCAGAAUGUGUUAUUAUUCACAGAUAAACCCUUUAUAAAGACUAAGCUUUAGUCACCAUUUUAUUUAUUUAUACAAUAAAUGCUUACCAACUAUCUAAUCUGGGCCAAUUUCUGUGCCAGGAAUUGGGGUUAACAGAGAAGUAUAAGAUUUGGUCCUUGGCCUAAAGCAGUUCACAGCCUGGAGGGCAGAGAUACAUAAAUAAAAGAUGAGAGGUAUUAUUACAAGAGCAUGGUCCCAAACUAUAAGAUUAGAGAAUAGAGGGCAAUGAACUAUCAGGUGGGCUGGGCUGUGUAUUUCUCCUUUUCUAUUUAAUUCUGAGAUUCUGUUUUAUUGGUAUUCUUAUUUUUCUUUGUGAAUCAGAGGUUUAACUACUAAGAGUUUGCAGGGUAAUGUAUCAUAAGACUCUAUGUUGCCUGAGCUGAAUUUCCUUCAGGACUUGCAAAAUCUUGGGUCAUGGGAUUCCAACCUAAGAUUAAAAAAAAGUCCAAAGUUUCUGUUCCUUGUUUGUAAUUCUCUUAAAUACGAUUAUCUAACUUCUUCUCUAAGUGCCAUGACAAGGCAAACUUUUCUAAAAAAGGGGUACCUAUGUGUAACUUGAAGGUACUGUUUGUGUUCUUUGUAACUGGGUACUUGAGAAGUAUGACUAGUAAUUUGCAGCAGUGAGCAGUUACAAGAACUUUUUCUGUUGGCGAAGAGUUGAAGAUACCUGCAUAUAUUGUAUUUUGUUGUUUAUCCUUUUGAAGGGCUCCAUAAGCACCAUCAUUCAUUCUGUGGAGCAUGCACUUUGUACCUGUAGCAAUUUCCUUUUCUGUUUUUGGUGUAGACUAGACAUCCAACAAGGUUCAGCAGACUUGACUGUUGGUUGUUAUAGGGUGGUGAUAAACUUCUUAGGUUUGGUAGUAAAAGAUUCACUGAAAGAGACAGUCCGUCUUUCUGCCUUUAAAUUUAUACAGCUAUAGCAAUUGCUUCUGAUUCAUAAAGGACAGCUUGUAAAUUGUCUACUGAGCCUAAGAUUGUCUCAUCUUUGAGCUAUUUUCUUUUCAGAGUCUUCUGAUUUCUGAAAAAUAGAGUGUAAGGAAAAGAAGGAAAUUCAUGGGAAAAUAAAAUGAUAAGUGAUAUUUAUUAAUUUAUUUGUAUGAUUUUUAAGUAGCUAUGCGAGUCAUUUUUCAUGGUUGAUUUGUGGGGACCAACCAUUAGGUUUGUGUCUGGGGCAGGUUAAAAGGAGACUUCACCCCACUGAGUUUGUGUUUGGGGAAGUGUGACUUUGCUUCAGUGCUCCACCACCCUUACCAAGCCCACACCCCUGCAGCUACCAAGAAUUAUAGAAGUAGUGGCUUAGUGUUCUUCCUAUCCAAAGUUCUCCUCCCACCACCUCCCCAUCUGGAGCUACCCUAUGACUUCUGCUCCAUUAUCCACUCAAUCUACCUAGUUUGGCUAGAGUCACAUGCUUAAGAUUAGUUUGUGAUGACUUCUAAUGAAAUAAUUUUGCAUUGAUAACAAAGAAGCUUCUUUAAACACUGAAGAGAGCAAGAAAAGGUUAGAUCAAGAAAUCAGGUAUUUAAAAAUAUGUAAUGAUAUUCUUUUUUUUUUCCUGAUUGCUUGUGAACCUGGGGUAUAGUAUAAAUUAAACCAGAUCAUGCUUGCCCCUGGACUAUUUUUAUAAUAAACUCAAUUUAAAAUCUUCAACUUUUUAUUUCCAAUUUUGAAUUUUAGUUAUAUUCAGCAAGAUGACAUGAUUGAAACAUGGCACUUGUCCUGCAGGAACUCAUGCUUCAGUGAAGCACAUUGGUGUGCAAUGGUAACAACUAUCAUAGAAGUCACCAUGUUUUAGGUUUUCAUUAAGUGCCAGGCACUCUACUUGAGUUUUUUUUUUUUUUUGACUUUUAGCCGCUCCUCACAAUACUUGUGCAAGGUUGUAAAUGGUUUUCAAAUUUAAGAUGAGAAAACUGAGGUUCAUGGAGGUCUAGUCACUGGCUCAAGAUGACAGGCAGUAAGUGGCAAAUUAGGGUCUAAUAUUCAGAUUAUCACAUUCCAUGUCUUGUGCUCUUGUGACACAUUGCUUUCAAAUACAAAGAAAAUCCGUAUUUCUGGAGCAAUGUGAAAUGGGUUGAUGUGCUUUUGUGUUUAUUUGGGUGCCAUAAAUUAGGAAAAAAAUUUCUACACAGUAUCCUGAUUAUAUUGUUUUGAUUGUUGUUUAACACGGGAUAAAAUAAGUUGAGUUCAGUUUUCUAGGAAACUGAAAUAGGAGGGCAAAUAAUAUUAUAUAAUUUUAGCAAGCAUCUGAAACUUACCGAAAGAUGUCAUCUUCUCCAGGGUAGUCAUGUUGGGAAAACUACAUUUAACCCAGUGAUAUUUGCCACUGUUCAAAACUUUUUGUCCCUUUUUAUUGUAAUUUUCUUUGGAUUUAUUCUUUUAUUCUUCACAUAACUAAAUUUUAUUGUUUUGUGAUCAAAAUUAUUUUUAUUUAAAAGAAGACUUGGUCGAUUUAACAUCAAACUUGGCUCUGAAUAAACUUUGGAUGUUUACAAAAAUAAAAUCCACCAUUUAAAGAGGACUAAUGGCUAUAUUUGACAUUUAAAACAACAUGAGGAAGGCUCUGAUGGCAAUUCCAUAAAAAUUUCUUGAGCAAUCAGUAGAAUCAAUGUAAGGUUUUCCAAAGUCACUACUUGGAAGUGGGCAACACUUGCUUAUUGGUUUGCGUUCUUAUAUUUUCAGUGAGUGAUUGAUUAUAUUAUGUAUCAUCCAGGCAGAUUUCCUGCAAGGCGGUAACAACUUGAAGUGUUCACAACUGAAGUGUUCUGGUGUGUGUAUGUGUGCGUGUAUGUGUGUGCUUCUUUCAGUGUCACCUCUCAUAAUCCUGGUCCAGUAGCACCUUCCAAAAGAUCAGGACUCAUUACCAAAAAAAAAAAAAAAAAAAAAAAGAAAAAAAGGGAGCAAGUGAGAGCAAGAGCAAGAGAGGGAGAAAGAGAAAUCAUCAAAAUGAGGAAGUAAUUCCUCUAAUUAUCAGAAACAGGAGCAAAGUAACAAUGGCUGCAAGUUACCUCCCCACGGGGGAAUGAAUCAUCAAAAUAACUGGUGGAAAACAAGGUUGUGCAACCUUGACUAGUGUGUGUCACCGGCUGGUGGAAUUUUUAGAAAGGAGCAGUUUGGGUUCAUCACUGUGGUUCGUGAUUGCACACACCUGUUUGGGGCAUGGAUUUUGCAACCCCCCAAAAAGGGGAAACUGAACUUGCUGCUCCUCCUGAGCUGUGUAAAAAAGCAGAAAACCACAGCUGCUUGAGCAGUUAACAGAUAUCAGUAAAAUACCCAUGUUACAUAAUUAAGGAUAACGUUCUUGAAGCAUAUGGGCCGGAGGUAUUAUACUCUCAUUAAAACUUUAGGUAACAAACAAUUUAGCAUAUUCUCACACAUUUCUAGGGUUGAAUUCUAUAAUAAAUGUUUGUAAUUAGAUAUGCUUUAAGCAGUUUAUUAAAUAAUACAUGAAGAAAAUGGUUGAUGAAAUAUAGACGAUUCUGAGGUCUGUGUACAAGUGACAUAGAGGCAUUGAGAUGAGACAUAAAAAAUUUCUUCUCAAUGACUUGAUAACUAGUCACUUUGGGCAGCUUAAGUAAGACUCAUUCUUCAGGCCAGCCUGUCUGUAAUGUUAAAUAAAUAGGAAUUAAUGACUUUGGAUUUUUUCUUUUCUUUUAAAGUACAUUAUAUGUAGCAGUCUUCUUUGAACUGCUACUCCUAAAUAGGAGGAGGUGCUUUUGACCAGAGCGUUACAAAAAUCUCAUGCACUUUAUUCUGGCAGGAAUAGAUCAGCUUGAUAGGGAAUAAAAGGGAUGGAUACAACCAAACAUGACCUAAAUCGACAUUUAAAAAAUCAUACCUUAGCCAACAGGUUCUGUUAUUUAUAAGUUUGAGAGGAAUAAGGAAGAGAAGUCUCUUGAGAAAAACCAAGGCAGGUGUUUGCUCCCUGGGGAAGUGAUAGGAAACAGGCCUCUAAGAUGAUAUUACAUGCAGGAAAGAAAUUCUUUCAGUUCUGUGUCUCUGUUUGAUAUUCAAGACAGCUAAUAAAUGAUCAACAAUUCUACCUGCAUGAGGAGCGUGUGAUCUAUGGAAAAUGAACUUGGAUAAUCCUAGAAAGUACCCAAGGAAAGAACGCCCAUUUCCUUAAGCCAUUGAGGUCAUCUAGAUAUUUUGUUUUUCAAUGCACACAAAUAAAAAAGCCGGUAACAGAACAAACAUGAAAUUUGGAAUGCCUUCUAGAACAUACAUGGGGAAACUGGCAAGGUUGACAUAGCUUUUACUGAUUUGUCUGUUUUAGUAGGUAAAUGGGGCUGCCAGUCUGGCAGUUUGCAUUGGCAAUAAAUCACCACUAGACAUUUUAUUUAAAAAUUGGCACUGGCUUGGCGGAGGUAAGGGAUUGUCAAUUUGUUUUUAUUUUGAGGCCAGGCACAAUCAUAACAUACACAGGCCACCUGGAAACUUCAGCCCACAUGGAGAAGCAUGGCUCAUGUCUCUGUGGCUAUAUUUUUGCAUGCUUGGAGAGUGCAGAGUUAGAUCAGAGUCUGAAGAGUCUAACCAGAAAGAUCCUGGCAGACUGGUACAGCCUGGAGACAUCCCUGUUGGAAACCAGGUUUGUUCUAGAAUUACUAUGUAGGAAGGGUAUCAUAGAUAUGAUAUUGGAGAGAACAUUUGGUGGUUUUCACUUUUAUUGAGUGUGGAGGGAGACCCACAGAGCUCAUGCAGAGCACACAAUGUGUGCAUUCCAAAAAUCACUCGAAUAUUAAAGGAUUGGGUAGCUCGCUCUUUUUUUUUUUUUUCCUGACUUAUUUUGCUUGGAAGUUCAGAUUCAAACUUGUGAUAAAUUGAGUCAUGGUUUUGAGAGGAAAAAAUAUACUGAAGUAGGGGAUGAUGCAACCACUGUCCUCAUGUAAGCAAUGAUAGAUGUUCUUUCUUUGAAAAUCAGUAUAAUUAAAAGAUAGUAAGAUGGAGAGAAGAAAAAGAUUACCUUAGACACUUGUAACUACUCCAGUGGAAAUAGUUGGGAGGAAUCCCCUAGUUUUCCUCUGAUUCUUGAUUUUCUGAAUAUCCUUCAAGGCUUCACAAUAUUGUUGAACAAUUUUUUUUGUUUAUCCAUUUUGAAAAUAUGAGAAUUAUUGCAUCAGGAAAAUUAUUUUGCAAAUAUAUUGAUUUACCGAAUUACCAAUCUUUUUGUCUCUGUUGACAUAUAUUUAUAAAUCUUAAUUGUACUUUAUAUUGUUACUAUGCAAACUGCUAGAAAGGAUCUGGUUAAGAUAGAGAUGUGCUGACUUAACCAGAGCCUCAUGAAUAAUUAAAUUUGCUCACUUUCUGGAAAUACCCAAUUUGCUCUUGAUACACAAAUAUUUGAAUUGGAUUCAACUUGUCUCUCAGAUUUUUUCCCCCUCCUGGAUUUCAUAUAUAUAAUUUUGAUGACACUGUCUAUCAAAAAAAUAGGAAAAAUAUACGCUACGGUUUCUGCUUGGUAAAGUCAUUCAAAGUGAUAUAAAAUGUCAAUAGCAAACAAGGACAUCAUUCCAAUGAUAUGUCGAGACACCUGGCAGAUUUCCUGGUAUUUGGGACAUGGGAGUAUUUAAAGAUACGUGGCAUUAAUUAGUCACAAACAGUUGAAGCAUCAAAUAUCUAACUUAAUAAGAUUUUUCUUUGUUUGUUUUCAAAUAUGUAAUGUUAGACUCUUUAGCAAAUAUUUCCAAAUUUCUAUUGUGAAUGCAGUGAGAUCUGCAUAUCUUACACCACAAUGUCCCACCAGUUGCCUGCCUGUAAUUGACAACAUUCAUGAAAUUAAAAAAAGAAAAGUAGAAAACUGAGAAAUCCCCCAAAGCAGUCACUUGAAAAAAAUCCCACAAUUCUGCCAGUUUGAGCACAUUCGAUGCCUGUACUAAAUGUCGUAUCGGCAAAUCUUCACUCAAAGAGAUCAAGAUGCAGCGUAUACAAGACUGAGGAUGAAGCAAAGUGUUGAAAUAGCUUGGGUAGCCUCCAAAGCAAUGUAGGUAAUUAGCAGGUGUUUAUAUUUUUCAUGUUGAUUUGCCCACAGAUAAUGUUUUGAAAAUAGUAAUGUAGGGCUGGGCAUGGUGGCUCAUGCCUGUAAUCCUAGCACUUUGGGAAGCUGAGGCGGGCAGAUCACGAGGUCAGGAGUUCGAGACCAGCCUGGCCAACAUGGUGAAACCCUGUCUCUACUAAAAAUACAAAAAUUAGCCGGGUGUGGUGGCGCACACUUGUAGUCCCAGCUGUUUGGGAGGCUGAGGCAGGAGAAUCGCUUGAACCUGGGAAGUGGAGGUUGCAGUGAGCUGAGAUCGUGCCAUUGCACUCUAGCCUGGGCGACAGAGCAACACUUUGUCUCAAAAAAAAAAAAAAAAAAAAGUGAUGUAAAAGUUUUCAUCUUGGCUUGUAUUUCUAACAUUUGCUUGGAUUUAAUAUACACAUUAACUUGGAUUGAAGUGUUCUGAUCUGGAUUUUUCAAACUUUGAUAGCCUUUAAAGCUAAUAUGUGAACAUUUACAGGGUCUUGGGGUUUUCAGGUUAACCUGUUGAUUUCAGGAUAUUAAGCUUCUAGUCUUUACCUUGAUCUUUUUCUCUUCCUGUGUUAUUGUGGGGCAGAAAUUGCAUGUGUGUGUGUAUGUGUGAAGAAAGUGUUAACUCACUUUGUGACUUGUAGUUCUAAUCUUAUUUUCACUGUUUAGUUAAAAAAAAAAUCCCUUUCUUCCUCCAGAAGUUUUGAAGUGGAUAACAUAGUUUGUUUAAAUGAAAUUAAUGAGAUAUGAGAUAUACUAGGGAUAAAAAUGAUUCAGAGGAAAGUAAUAUAUUUUUAAAAAGAUAUCUUAUUCUGCAAGAAAAUAAAAUGUCACUAACAUUCAUUGAGUUUUUUAAACACAAAAGGGCACAUCCAUGCACAUACAUU